This 382-nucleotide long non-coding RNA is filed under the name Citrus sinensis (sweet orange). RNAcentral's name for it is "long non-coding RNA (CSIN_LNC005634)". Lineage: Eukaryota; Viridiplantae; Streptophyta; Magnoliopsida; Sapindales; Rutaceae. The record is from RNAcentral.
AUGCAUUUUGGUGUUUGAUCCGACUGAGAGGGUUUAGCAGUGAUCUGUCGCGAAAGUGGGGUCAGCUGUGAUCGCGCAACGGAGGCCGCCAUUAAUCAACGCGUGAGACAGCGAGACUCAGCCACGGGUGACUUGCCAGACGAAAAUAUAUAUGUGUGUAUAUAUAAUAAGGCCGGGCGCUGUUUGAAAACAAAGGAAUGUAGGGUACAGUGUGAGUGGGUCCAUUUUUAUUUUAUUUUUUCAGAAUAGAUUUUUUGGGACUGUAGUGUCUGCGAUGAAUAAUAAAUAAUACGAGGUUGUUGAAUUUUAUCUUUUCCUAUAAUUCGUUUCUUUUACCGUUUCUGUGCGCUUGGUGGCUUUUUGUAUCACCAACUUUACCCGA